GCCCGGAUGGUGAAAUAGGCAGACCCAAAGGACUUAAAAUCCCUCGGCCACAAGGCCGUGCGGGUUCGACCCCCGCUCCGGGCACCA
Molecule: transfer RNA, 87 nt
Filed under: Gammaproteobacteria bacterium
Lineage: Bacteria; Pseudomonadati; Pseudomonadota; Gammaproteobacteria
Description: tRNA-Leu
Rfam family: tRNA
About the family: Transfer RNA (tRNA) molecules are approximately 80 nucleotides in length. Their secondary structure includes four short double-helical elements and three loops (D, anti-codon, and T loops).
Source: RNAcentral